UACGGAGGGUGCGAGCGUUGUUCGGAAUCACUGGGCGUAAAGCGCGUGUAGGCGGCCCAUUAAGUCUGAUGUGAAAGCCCGGGGCUCACCCCCGGAAGUGCAUUGGAAACUGAUGGACUCGAGUCCCGGAGAGGAGAGUGGAAUUCCUGGUGUAGCGGUGAAAUGCGUAGAUAUCAGGAGGAACACCGGUGGCGAAGGCGGCUCUCUGGACGGUGACUGACGCUGAGACACGAAAGCGUGGGGAGCGAACGGG
RNAcentral lists this ribosomal RNA (253 nucleotides) under uncultured bacterium. RNAcentral's name for it is "partial 16S ribosomal RNA". It matches the Rfam family "Bacterial small subunit ribosomal RNA", at positions 524 to 776 of the family's 1533-position model. The record is from RNAcentral.